This 468-nucleotide ribosomal RNA is filed under the name uncultured bacterium. RNAcentral's name for it is "partial 16S ribosomal RNA". It matches the Rfam family "Bacterial small subunit ribosomal RNA", at positions 28 to 507 of the family's 1533-position model. The record is from RNAcentral.
GACGAACGCUGGCGGCGUGCUUAACACAUGCAAGUCGAACGGAAAGGCCCUGCUUUUGUGGGGUGCUCGAGUGGCGAACGGGUGAGUAACACGUGAGUAACCUGCCCUUGACUUUGGGAUAACUUCAGGAAACUGGGGCUAAUACCGGAGAGGAGCUCCUGCUGCAGGGUGGGGGGUGGAAAGUUUCGGCGGGUGGGGAUGGACUCGCGGCUUAUCAGCUUGUGGGUGGGGUAGUGGCUUACCAAGGCUUUGACGGGUAGCCGGCCUGGGAGGGUGACCGGCCACCUUGGGCCUGCGAUACGGCCCAGACUCCUACGGGAGGCAGCAGUGGGGAAUAUUGCCCAAUGGGCGGAAGCCUGAUGCAGCAACGCCGCGUGCGGGAUGCCGGCCUUCGGGUUGUAAACCGCUUUCGCCUGUGACGAAGCGUGAGUGACGGUAAUGGGUAAAGAAGCACCGGCUAACUACGUG